Molecule: long non-coding RNA, 577 nt
Organism: Xiphophorus hellerii (green swordtail)
Lineage: Eukaryota; Metazoa; Chordata; Actinopteri; Cyprinodontiformes; Poeciliidae
Exons: 2
Source: RefSeq, a predicted model, not a curated record
UUCAUUUUUUGAUGGUAAAUGUAAGCUUUACAACUACAUUUUUAGGUUUUUGUGUUUGUUUUGUUUCGUUUGUUUACUCCUAUUUUUACUAGAUUGGUUUAAGAGGAAGAUCUGCAUUUGUUUAACAUUCUGGGAAAACGUUACUUUGGAAACAUGUCUUUUGAAGCAAAUGAUUACAGGGUUUUGGUAUUUUUCAUCGGUUGGAGCUAUAGUAUAUAAUAAUAGCAACGUACAUUGAAGGGAUCACAUCCACCAUUUGAUGAGCAGAAUUGGACAAACUAGGAGAUAAGGUUUCAAGUGAUGUGUUGCUCAUGGUUUUACACGCAGACUGCCCUGGAGUCCGAACUCCAGGUGGAACUUUGGACUCUGUCACACAAGCUGUUGUCAUGCGAGGCGGGGGUGGGGCUGCUUGGAGAAGCGGCUUCACACUAUUUCGAAGAUAGCAGCCACAGAGUCACGAGCGGUGGAGGAUUCACUCUGACACGGGUUUGCAGCCGUUUUCCUGGUGCCCUGUGGAUGUGAUCUCAUUCAAAAUCUGCGUUCUUUGAUAAAAGGAUUAAAAUAAUUUCCCGGAUGG